Molecule: ribosomal RNA, 370 nt
Filed under: uncultured organism
Description: partial 16S ribosomal RNA
Rfam family: Bacterial small subunit ribosomal RNA
Source: RNAcentral
GGAGGGUGCGAGCGUUAAUCGGAAUUACUGGGCGUAAAGCGCGCGUAGGCGGCUUGGUCAGUCGGAUGUGAAAGCCCCGGGCUUAACCUGGGAAUUGCAUUCGAUACUGCCAGACUAGAGUAUGGGAGAGGGAAGCGGAAUUUCCGGUGUAGCGGUGAAAUGCGUAGAUAUCGGAAGGAACACCAGUGGCGAAGGCGGCUUCCUGGCCCAAUACUGACGCUGAGGUGCGAAAGCGUGGGGAGCAAACAGGGAUUAGAUACCCUGGUAGUCCACGCCGUAAACGAUGAGAACUAGAUGUCGGGAGGAUUUGCCUCUCGGUGUCGCAGCUAACGCGUUAAGUUCUCCGCCUGGGGAUACGCCGGCAACGGUA